This 328-nucleotide ribosomal RNA is filed under the name uncultured eukaryote. Its description in RNAcentral is "partial 18S ribosomal RNA". It matches the Rfam family "Eukaryotic small subunit ribosomal RNA", at positions 1470 to 1796 of the family's 1831-position model. The record is from RNAcentral.
CCCUUAGAUGUCCUGGGCCGCACGCGCGCUACACUGAUGCAUUCAACGAGCUUAUAACCUUGGCCGAGAGGCCUGGGCAAUCUUGUUAACGUGCAUCGCGAUAGGGAUAGAUUAUUGAAAUUAUUAAUCUUGAACGAGGAAUUCCUAGUAAACGCAGAUCAUCAAUCUGCAUUGAUUACGUCCCUGCCCUUUGUACACACCGCCCGUCGCACCUACCGAUUGGAUGGUCCGGUGAAGCCUCGGGAUUGUGGUUCUUGCCGCUUUAUUGUGGCGUGACCGCGAGAACUUGUCUAAACCUUAUCAUCUAGAGGAAGGUGAAGUCGUAACA